RNAcentral lists this ribosomal RNA (253 nucleotides) under uncultured bacterium. RNAcentral describes it as "partial 16S ribosomal RNA". It matches the Rfam family "Bacterial small subunit ribosomal RNA", at positions 524 to 776 of the family's 1533-position model. The record is from RNAcentral.
GACAGAGGGUGCGAACGUUGCUCGGAAUUACUGGGCGUAAAGCGCGUGUAGGCGGGUGAUCAAGUCAGAUGUGAAAUCCCUGGGCUCAACCCAGGAACUGCAUUUGAAACUGGUUGCCUUGAGUGUUGGAGAGGGAAGCGGAAUUCCUGGUGUAGAGGUGAAAUUCGUAGAUAUCAGGAGGAACACCGGUGGCGAAGGCGGCUUCCUGGACAACUACUGACGCUGAGACGCGAAAGCGUGGGGAGCAAACAGG